ACAAAUUAAGCACAGUCGUGAGCGAGGUGUUGUAGGGUCUGUACAUCUAUAUCACAAAUAUAUGAGUGCACAUUUUUAAGAUAGGUACAUGAAUUAAAAAACAUAUUAAAUUGAUAUAAACAUGUUGUACACGCAAUAGAGUGACCGAACAAUAUAGACUGAGGAACCUUACCACGUUAGUCAUAGAUUUAAAGCAAAU
RNAcentral lists this long non-coding RNA (199 nucleotides) under Carica papaya (papaya). RNAcentral's name for it is "long non-coding RNA (CPAP_LNC006483)". The record is from RNAcentral. Lineage: Eukaryota; Viridiplantae; Streptophyta; Magnoliopsida; Brassicales; Caricaceae.